This is a long non-coding RNA of Spinacia oleracea (spinach), 952 nucleotides long. RefSeq lists it as uncharacterized. The transcript is spliced from 3 exons. Lineage: Eukaryota; Viridiplantae; Streptophyta; Magnoliopsida; Caryophyllales; Amaranthaceae. The record is from RefSeq and is a predicted model, not a curated record.
UCAAGCUUUGUUCUGAUUAGACUUUCAGUUUUGAUCAGUUUUAGACUUUUAGUUCUGAUCAGAUGCAAGCUUCUGUUUUUGUUUUGAGCUAUGUGUACGUUUAUCUGACACAACACAGCAGAACACACACACACACACACACCUGAAAUACACACAACACACUCAAACACACAGCACAGGUAACACAGACAGCAGAACACACACACAACAGAACACACGCAGCCAUUCUAUUGCAUGUUAGUUCUGGUCAAAGUUGUACAACAGAGGAAGGAGACAUUCCUUUUGGAAUUGAGGACUUGCUAUAUUAUGUAAAAAAGGAUGAAGCAGAUAAGUUCCAUCUAGGUUUUGGAGCCCUUAAAGAGUAUUUUCCUCUUGUCUUUGAUUUGAGCUCUUCUGAACUUAUGGGCUAUGCGUACUUCGAUCUCUACUCCAGGUUCUGCAACUAUCUCUCUUUCUGAUGACCUUAUCCUCAUUGUACUUAACAAACUGUCUGACAACAAUGUCAUUAAUCCAGGAAAGGAAAAUAUGGCCAGACUUGUGUUUCGCCUCUCCAAAAUGGUUCAUUAUCAGCAAAUGUUGCUAGACAGGUUCCAGUUGUUCUACUGAUGUCUGAUAUUUUAAAGGGGGAUGUUAACUUUCCUGCAUUACUGCGAUUCUCUAAAGUUGUUAGUCUUUUCCAUGAAUUUGGCCAUAUGUCAUUGGCUCGCAUGAACAAGAAGGACUCGUGGCUGUUUUGGUGGAGCCUUUAUCUUACCGUGAGUGAAGUUACUUUUUUUUCCUUUUCCGUCUCCUUUAAAAACCAUGUACUCCCUCCUUGCACAUAAGUAACACUUAUACUUUAGGGCAUUGUAAAUUAGCUGUCACGUGGUACUUUCUUAAAUAUAACUUUCGGUUCCUGAAUUUCUGUGAGGUCUUGUUUUGGUACUAUAUAUUAUGUUACAAGCUGGAUGAA